CCUANGGGAGGCUGCAGUCGAGAAUCAUUCGCAAUGGGCGCAAGCCUGACGAUGCGACGCUGUGUGAGUGAAGAAGGCCCUCGGGUUGUAAAGCUCUUUCGCUUGGGAACAAGGAAGAUCGGCUAAUACCCGGUUAACUUGAGCGUACCAGGUAAAGAAGCACCGGCUAAUUCCGUGCCAGCAGCUGCGGUAAUACGGAAGGUGCAAGCGUUAAUCGGAAUCAUUGGGCGUAAAGGGCGCGUAGGCGGGACAGUAAGUCAGGUGUGAAAUUCCGGAGCUCAACUCCGGAGCUGCACUUGAAACUACUAUCCUAGAGGGUAGACGGAGAAAGCGGAAUUCCAUGUGUAGCGGUGAAAUGCGUAGAUACAUGGAGGAACACCGGUGGCGAAGGCGGCUUUCUAGUUUAUUCCUGACGCUAAAGCGCGAAAGCAAGGGGAGCAAACAGGAUUAGAUACCCCGNUANUC
This 465-nucleotide ribosomal RNA is filed under the name uncultured bacterium. Its description in RNAcentral is "bacterial SSU rRNA". It matches the Rfam family "Bacterial small subunit ribosomal RNA", at positions 338 to 795 of the family's 1533-position model. The record is from RNAcentral.